AACAUAUGGAGAUAAGCAUUUUGCAAGACAAUAGUUCAGCAGGCAGACCGCUUGUUAUACAAAACAAAAGUACUUCCAUCUCCAUCAUCCAAAAUUGGGAAACCAUUCUAUCCCUUGUACACUGGGAAAUUAAACUAGCUCAAUCCAUCAUGUCUAGAGACAUUUGUCAGAAAAAAUAUAUCAGACUGACUGGCAAUCUAACUGCUCCAUUAGCUUCAAUGGAAUUGUGCCCACUUUCUACAUUUUGUCCAAGUGACAAAAAGAAAAACUGGUGAAAGGAGAAAAAAGAAAUAAGAAUAUGAGGAAAGAAACCAAAACCCCCAAAAUUCAAACAAAAAAAUUGAAAAUGAAAAUGUUUGUUUGAAUAAAUGGAAACCAUCCUUUUUUGGGACCCUUGGGAUGAAAAUGACUUUGACAAAUCAGCUCUAGUAACCAGUGCCUUCUGUGAUGACUGACCAGAGAAAAUGGGUCUUUGCUCUCUACAGAGCUAUUUAGUCCUUACUGAGCAGGGUUUUCUUGAUAGUGCCAUUGACAGGCA
Mauremys reevesii (Reeves's turtle) is the source of this 538-nucleotide long non-coding RNA. RefSeq lists it as uncharacterized. Lineage: Eukaryota; Metazoa; Chordata; Testudines; Geoemydidae. The record is from RefSeq and is a predicted model, not a curated record. The transcript has 3 exons.